This 253-nucleotide ribosomal RNA is filed under the name uncultured prokaryote. Its description in RNAcentral is "partial 16S ribosomal RNA". It matches the Rfam family "Bacterial small subunit ribosomal RNA", at positions 525 to 777 of the family's 1533-position model. The record is from RNAcentral.
ACGUAGGUGGCAAGCGUUGUCCGGAAUUACUGGGCGUAAAGCGCACGUAGGCGGCUUGGUAAGUUGGGUGUGAAAUCCCCGAGCUUAACUUGGGAAUUGCAUUCAAGACUGCCUUGCUAGAGUGUGGGAGAGGGAAGCGGAAUUCCAGGUGUAGCGGUGAAAUGCGUAGAUAUCUGGAGGAACAUCAGUGGCGAAGGCGGCUUUCUGGCCCAACACUGACGCUGAGGUGCGAAAGCGUGGGGAGCAAACAGGA